GACGUAGGGCGCGAGCGUUGUCCGGAUUUAUUGGGCGUAAAGAGCUCGUAGGCGGCUCGUUGCGUCGGCUGUGAAAACCCGCAGCUCAACUGUGGGCUUGCAGCUGAUACGGGCGGGCUGGAGUUCGGUAGGGGAGACUGGAAUUCCUGGUGUAGCGGUGAAAUGCGCAGAUAUCAGGAGGAACACCGGUGGCGAAGGCGGGUCUCUGGGCAGUAACUGACGCUGAGGAGCGAAAGCGUGGGGAGCGAACAGG
RNAcentral lists this ribosomal RNA (253 nucleotides) under uncultured bacterium. RNAcentral describes it as "partial 16S ribosomal RNA". It matches the Rfam family "Bacterial small subunit ribosomal RNA", at positions 524 to 776 of the family's 1533-position model. The record is from RNAcentral.